RNAcentral lists this transfer RNA (75 nucleotides) under Levilactobacillus brevis. Its description in RNAcentral is "tRNA-Ile(gat)". It matches the Rfam family "tRNA". From Rfam's summary of the family: Transfer RNA (tRNA) molecules are approximately 80 nucleotides in length. Their secondary structure includes four short double-helical elements and three loops (D, anti-codon, and T loops). Lineage: Bacteria; Bacillati; Bacillota; Bacilli; Lactobacillales; Lactobacillaceae. The record is from RNAcentral.
GGGCCUAUAGCUCAGCUGGUUUAGAGCGCACGCCUGAUAAGCGUGAGUUCGAUGGUUCGAGUCCAUUUAGGCCCA